ACAGGGAUUGCCCUAGUAACGGCGAGUGAAGCGGCAACAGCUCAAAUUUGAAAUCUGGCUCUUUCAGAGUCCGAGUUGUAAUUUGCAGAGGGCGCUUUGGCUUUGGCAGCGGUCCAAGUUCCUUGGAACAGGACGUCACAGAGGGUGAGAAUCCCGUACGUGGUCGCUAGCUAUUGCCGUGUAAAGCCCCUUCGACGAGUCGAGUUGUUUGGGAAUGCAGCUCUAAAUGGGAGGUAAAUUUCUUCUAAAGCUAAAUAUUGGCCAGAGACCGAUAGCGCACAAGUAGAGUGAUCGAAAGAUGAAAAGCACUUUGGAAAGAGAGUCAAACAGCACGUGAAAUUGUUGAAAGGGAAGCGCUUGCAGCCAGACUUGCUUGCAGUUGCUCAUCCGGGCUUUUGCCCGGUGCACUCUUCUGCAGGCAGGCCAGCAUCAGUUUGGGCGGUGGGAUAAAGGUCUCUGUCACGUACCUUCCUUCGGGUUGGCCUUAUAGGGGAGACGCCAUACCACCAGCCUGGACUGAGGUCCGCGCAUCUGCUAGGAUGCUGGCGUAAUGGCUGUAAGCGGCCCGUCUUGAAACACGGACCAAGGAGUCUAACAUCUAUGCGAGUGUUUGGGUGUCAAGCCCGAGCGCGUAAUGAAAGUGAACGGAGGUGGGAACCCGCAAGGGUGCACCAUCGACCGAUCCUGAAGUUUACGGAAGGAUUUGAGUAAGAGCAUGGCUGUUGGGACCCGAAAGAUGGUGAACUAUGCUUGAAUAGGGUGAAGCCAGAGGAAACUCUGGUGGAGGCUCGCAGCGGUUCUGACGUGCAAAUCGAUCGUCAAAUUUGGGCAUAGGGGCGAAAGACUAAUCGA
Molecule: ribosomal RNA, 852 nt
Filed under: Curvularia spicifera
Lineage: Eukaryota; Fungi; Ascomycota; Dothideomycetes; Pleosporales; Pleosporaceae
Description: eukaryotic LSU rRNA
Rfam family: Eukaryotic large subunit ribosomal RNA
Source: RNAcentral